UACGUAGGGUGCAAGCGUUGUCCGGAAUUAUUGGGCGUAAAGAGCUCGUAGGCGGUUCGUCGCGUCGGCUGUGAAAUCCCGGAGCUCAACUCCGGGUCUGCAGUCGAUACGGGCGGACUUGAGUUCGGCAGGGGAGACUGGAAUUCCUGGUGUAGCGGUGAAAUGACGCAGAUAUCAGGAGGAACACCGGUGGCGAAGGCGGGUCUCUGGGCCGAUACUGACGCUGAGGAGCGAAAGCGUGGGGAGCGAACAGG
Molecule: ribosomal RNA, 254 nt
Filed under: uncultured bacterium
Lineage: Bacteria
Description: partial 16S ribosomal RNA
Rfam family: Bacterial small subunit ribosomal RNA
Source: RNAcentral